AGCGGCGGACGGGUGAGUAAUGCCUAGGAAUCUGCCUGGUAGUGGGGGAUAACGUUCGGAAACGGACGCUAAUACCGCAUACGUCCUACGGGAGAAAGCAGGGGACCUUCGGGCCUUGCGCUAUCAGAUGAGCCUAGGUCGGAUUAGCUAGUUGGUGGGGUAAUGGCUCACCAAGGCGACGAUCCGUAACUGGUCUGAGAGGAUGAUCAGUCACACUGGAACUGAGACACGGUCCAGACUCCUACGGGAGGCAGCAGUGGGGAAUAUUGGACAAUGGGCGAAAGCCUGAUCCAGCCAUGCCGCGUGUGUGAAGAAGGUCUUCGGAUUGUAAAGCACUUUAAGUUGGGAGGAAGGGCAGUAAAUUAAUACUUUGCCGUUUUGACGUUACCGACAGAAUAAGCACCGGCUAACUCUGUGCCAGCAGCCGCGGUAAUACAGAGGGUGCAAGCGUUAAUCGGAAUUACUGGGCGUAAAGCGCGCGUAGGUGGUUCGUUAAGUUGGAUGUGAAAUCCCCGGGCUCAACCUGGGAACUGCAUUCAAAACUGACGAGCUAGAGUAUGGUAGAGGGUGGUGGAAUUUCCUGUGUAGCGGUGAAAUGCGUAGAUAUAGGAAGGAACACCAGUGGCGAAGGCGACCACCUGGACUGAUACUGACACUGAGGUACGAAAGCGUGGGGAGCAAACAGGAUUAGAUACCCUGGUAGUCCACGCCGUAAACGAUGUCAACUAGCCGU
RNAcentral lists this ribosomal RNA (733 nucleotides) under uncultured bacterium. RNAcentral's name for it is "bacterial SSU rRNA". It matches the Rfam family "Bacterial small subunit ribosomal RNA", at positions 94 to 823 of the family's 1533-position model. The record is from RNAcentral.